UACGUAGGUGACAAGCGUUGUCCGGAUUUAUUGGGCGUAAAGGGCGCGUAGGCGGCCUGGCAAGUGGAAGGUGAAAUCCCUCGGCUUAACCGAGGAACUGCCCUCCAAACUGCUUGGCUUGAGUCCGGGAGAGGUGAGUGGAAUUCCCAGUGUAGCGGUGAAAUGCGUAGAUAUUGGGAGGAACACCAGUGGCGAAGGCGGCUCACUGGACCGGAACUGACGCUGAGGCGCGAAAGCGUGGGGAGCGAACAGG
This 253-nucleotide ribosomal RNA is filed under the name uncultured bacterium. Its description in RNAcentral is "partial 16S ribosomal RNA". It matches the Rfam family "Bacterial small subunit ribosomal RNA", at positions 524 to 776 of the family's 1533-position model. The record is from RNAcentral.